CCCAGAUAUUCUAACAAUAUACAAUCAGGCCUGGUACCUUUCUCUCUCUAUAUAUUUAUCAUUACCACCUCUGCUGGGUCCUGGGUCAUAGAUCUACUCCCCCCGCAGCCUCCCAGCUGCCCACAUUGUGCCUCCCUGCCCCCGCUUACUAGAAAGCCUGGUUCUAAUGUAGUGCCAGUAUCUGAGUCUGUUCUUACCUCCAUGUUUGUAGAUCCAGGUAGCAAUGAGAACAUGUGCCUGAGUAUUUAUACUUUAUUUAACCCCCUUAAG
Pelobates cultripes (western spadefoot toad) is the source of this 270-nucleotide non-coding RNA. NCBI's taxonomy places the organism in Eukaryota, Metazoa, Chordata, Amphibia, Anura, Pelobatidae. The record is from the annotation of a GenBank genome assembly.